RNAcentral lists this ribosomal RNA (345 nucleotides) under uncultured Pseudomonas sp. RNAcentral describes it as "bacterial SSU rRNA". It matches the Rfam family "Bacterial small subunit ribosomal RNA", at positions 1037 to 1382 of the family's 1533-position model. The record is from RNAcentral. Lineage: Bacteria; Pseudomonadati; Pseudomonadota; Gammaproteobacteria; Pseudomonadales; Pseudomonadaceae.
GGUGCUGCAUGGCUGCGUCAGCUCGUGUCGUGAGAUGUUGGGUUAAGUCCCGUAACGAGCGCAACCCUUGUCCUUAGUUACCAGCACGUUAUGGUGGGCACUCUAAGGAGACUGCCGGUGACAAACCGGAGGAAGGUGGGGAUGACGUCAAGUCAUCAUGGCCCUUACGGCCUGGGCUACACACGUGCUACAAUGGUCGGUACAAAGGGUUGCCAAGCCGCGAGGUGGAGCUAAUCCCAUAAAACCGAUCGUAGUCCGGAUCGCAGUCUGCAACUCGACUGCGUGAAGUCGGAAUCGCUAGUAAUCGUGAAUCAGAAUGUCACGGUGAAUACGUUCCCGGGCCUU